Molecule: ribosomal RNA, 433 nt
Filed under: uncultured bacterium
Lineage: Bacteria
Description: partial 16S ribosomal RNA
Rfam family: Bacterial small subunit ribosomal RNA
Source: RNAcentral
AACGAACGCUGGCGGCAUGCCUAACACAUGCAAGUCGAACGAGACCUUCGGGUCUAGUGGCGCACGGGUGCGUAACGCGUGGGAACCUGCCCUUAGGUUCGGAAUAACUCCCCGAAAGGGGUGCUAAUACCGGAUAAUGUCUUCGGACCAAAGAUUUAUCGCCUUUGGAUGGGCCCGCGUUGGAUUAGCUAGUUGGUAGGGUAAAAGCCUACCAAGGCGACGAUCCAUAGCUGGUCUGAGAGGAUGAUCAGCCACACUGGGACUGAGACACGGCCCAGACUCCUACGGGAGGCAGCAGUGGGGAAUAUUGGACAAUGGGCGGAAGCCUGAUCCAGCAAUGCCGCGUGAAUGAUGAAGGCCUUAGGGUUGUAAAGCUCUUUUACCCGGGAUGAUAAUGACAGUACCGGGAGAAUAAGCUCCGGCUAACUCCGUG